UACGUAGGGUGCAAGCGUUAAUCGGAAUUACUGGGCGUAAAGCGUGCGCAGGCGGCUUUGCAAGACAGAUGUGAAAUUUCGGAGCUUAACUCCGAAACUGCAUUCGAUACUGCCGUGCUUGAGGACUGGAGAGGAGACUGGAAUUUACGGUGUAGCGGUGAAAUGCGUAGAUAUCGUAAGGAAGACCAGUGGCGAAGGCGGGUCUCUGGACAGUUCCUGACGCUGAGGCACGAAGGCCAGGGGAGCAAACGGG
This 253-nucleotide ribosomal RNA is filed under the name uncultured bacterium. RNAcentral describes it as "partial 16S ribosomal RNA". It matches the Rfam family "Bacterial small subunit ribosomal RNA", at positions 524 to 776 of the family's 1533-position model. The record is from RNAcentral.